This 465-nucleotide ribosomal RNA is filed under the name uncultured bacterium. RNAcentral's name for it is "partial 16S ribosomal RNA". It matches the Rfam family "Bacterial small subunit ribosomal RNA", at positions 28 to 507 of the family's 1533-position model. The record is from RNAcentral.
GAUGAACGCUGGCGGCGUGCCUAACACAUGCAAGUCGAGCGGAGAAUUGUUGCUUGCAACCCUUCUUAGCGGCGGACGGGUGAGUAACACGUGGGUAACCUGCCCUAAACAAAGGGAUAACAAUGAGAAAUCAUUGCUAAUACCGUAUAAGCUUACACUAUCGCAUGAUAGAGUAAGAAAAGAUUUAUCGGUUUAGGAGGGGCCCGCGUCUGAUUAGCUAGUUGGAGAGGUAACGGCUCACCAAGGCGACGAUCAGUAGCCGACCUGAGAGGGUGAUCGGCCACAUUGGGACUGAGACACGGCCCAAACUCCUACGGGAGGCAGCAGUGGGGAAUAUUGCACAAUGGAGGAAACUCUGAUGCAGCAACGCCGCGUGAAGGAAGAAGGUUUUCGGAGCGUAAACUUCUAUCUACAGGGAAGAAAAAAAUGACGGUACCUGAGUAAGAAGCCCCGGCUAACUACGUG